This 515-nucleotide ribosomal RNA is filed under the name uncultured bacterium. Its description in RNAcentral is "partial 16S ribosomal RNA". It matches the Rfam family "Bacterial small subunit ribosomal RNA", at positions 28 to 523 of the family's 1533-position model. The record is from RNAcentral.
GAUGAACGCUGGCGGCGUGCCUAAUACAUGCAAGUCGAGCGAAUGGAUUAAGAGCUUGCUCUUAUGAAGUUAGCGGCGGACGGGUGAGUAACACGUGGGUAACCUGCCCAUAAGACUGGGAUAACUCCGGGAAACCGGGGCUAAUACCGGAUAACAUUUUGAACCGCAUGGUUCGAUAUUGAAAGGCGGCUUCGGCUGUCACUUAUGGAUGGACCCGCGUCGCAUUAGCUAGUUGGUGAGGUAACGGCUCACCAAGGCAACGAUGCGUAGCCGACGUGAGAGGGUGAUCGGCCACACUGUGCCUGAGACACGGCCCAGACUCCUACGGGAGGAAGCAGUAGGGAAUCUUCCGCAAUGGACGAAAGUCUGACGUAGCAACGCCGCGUGAGUGAUGAAGGCUUUCGGGUCGUAAAACUCUGUUGUUAGGGAAGAACAAGUGCUAGUUGAAUAAGCUGGCACCUUGACGGUACCUAACCAGAAAGCCACGGCUAACUACGUGCCAGCAGCCGCGGUAA